AAGGCAGCAACUCAAAUUUUUUUUCCCUUGGAUCUUUUGGUGUCUGAAGAAGACCGGAACUCAAUUCUUUUCUCUUGAAUCUCUUGAUCGGUGAAAAAAGAGAGAAUUCUUCACCGGCAACUCAUCGAUUCGGCAAUAGAACCCUAAACCAUGGUGUAAAGGGGAAAGUUAAGCUCCGUACUCCUAAAUCAGGUUUUUAGUAUAUCUUUAUUCCUGGCAACUUGCCCAACUAGCAAAAAUAAAUCAUAGCCAUGCGCACAUGUUUUCUGUAGUAGGGCUCUGGACAUGCGUGUCCGUUCUGAUUACGAUCGAAGAUCCGGCUUUGGCUGUUGAUAUUCUUACUGUCUUCUAAAUUGCAGAAAUCAUGCCAAGGGGUAUAGGGUGACCUCGCAGAAGGCUUGCAAGCCCCGCCCAAAAGCCCAUGGAUUGGCAGUAUGAGGAUCCUGAGCAAUAUGAUAAUGAAUGGCAAUAGGAAGAACAGUCGAAUUCUGGUACUCUACCGGACAUCAUGAAAGAGAUGAUGCUGAUGAUGCAUAACUAAUGCCAACAACAUACUCUUGGAAGCGGCCGAUAUCUACUGACAGAGUUCGAACGGCACACACCAUCAUCGUUUGCAGAGACCACCAAUCCUACAGUGGUCGGGUACAGAAUUAGUUAAUUAGAGAGGACUUUUUCGGACUAUGAAAAGCCUUGAUGAAGACUAGGUCAGACUGGCCUCGUACAUACUGUAGGAUAGUGCAUCCCAGUGGUUCGAUAAUGAACUGUGCGUUAAUGGGGAAGAUGCUUUUAAAUCCUGAGAUCAAUUUAACAAAGAAUUAUACGUUAAGUACUUUCCGUUGAGUCUUUGAGCUCAGAUGGAGAGACAGAUCCUAGGUAUGAGGAAGGGAUCGAUGAGUGUAGAAGAGUACGACGCAGAGUUUGACAGAUUGUCUCAGUUUAAUUCAUCCUUAGUGCCAAAUGCAAAGAGCAAAUCUUGUCGUUUUAUAUAAAGCCUAGAGAACCACAUUCGACGAGAUAUUGUGCCUUUCCUGAGGCAAUCUUAUGCGUAGAUAGUUAAUAGUACGAAGGACCUAGAGAUUAUUUUGCUGGAGACAGAGGACCCAAGUAAGCGUAAGUAGCAGCGGCACCGGGGUCGGAACCCUCGAAAGAGUUAGUCUUCUAGGAAUAGCUCUCGCAUUCUAGGCGGGAGCAUCGGUCACAAACCUACAUUAGGCCCUCGACUUCGUCAUCUGAUUCUGGAGACAGUUGCUUAUCUAGCAGUGUAGCCUAGGAGACUCGGUGUGCUACUUGUGGGGGUUGCCAUUCACAGGCAGAGUGCAAACCCACAGCUGGCACGUAUUAUCAAUGUGGCAGUCCAGAGCAUUUCAUCGCUUAGUACCCGCCCAGCCCGCCUUGGACUCAAAGAGGCAAUGGGCCUAAGGGACCAGCAGAUGAGCAACCUCGGUUAUCUUGUGGAUCGCGACAAAAGAUACUCCAAGACAUUAUCAGCAGGGUACCUCGAGGAGCAGGAAAGGGAAUGAGCCUAUGGCAGACCAGCCUUCUUUCUCUUCUCGCCCAGCAGGCCAUGGUAGGCCAGUGACUUAGGGUCGUGUCUUCAGUCUGACACGAGGACGAACAGGCAAAGGGCGCCUUUCCCUUCUGCCCCUCGAGGUAUAUAUCCUGCUGAGAAAGUCUUGGAUCUAUUUGUCGAGUUUCAUCAAAUGACCUGGGUUGCUCAUUUGCCGCGCCUUAAGUCCCACCACAUCCCUAAGUCCAAGGCGGGCUAUGCGGGCAAUGAGUAGGGGUGGCAAUAAUCUGUUCGGACCCGCCGGCCCUGUUUUGUCCGGCCCGGAAUAAAAAGGGUUUGGACAUAAUGUUUGCAAAUACGGGCCGGGUCCGAACAUGGCUUGGUUGUCCGGAUUUAAAUUUUAAAAGCCCACAACCUUAGGCCCAUUUGUUUUAACCCCUUAAAAUUUUAAAAGCCCACAACCUUAGGCCCAUUUGUUUUAAGCCAUUCUUCUAGAAACUUUAAACAUAUAUUGUUUUUUUAUUAAGACUUAAAUUUUUCUAUAAUUUGAGUUGAGUUUUGGAUUAUUGAUGUUUUUUUUGUAUUUAAUGUGAAUUAAACUAUUUUUUUUAUAAUUUAAUAUUUGAGCGAACUUAAAAAUAGAUUAUAGAAUUCGCACAAAUUUGGACAUCCGGACAACCCGGUUUUAAAAUAAACCGGGUUUGGACAUGCCAAGUUUGUCCGGAUUUAAAACCGGGCCGGGUCCGAACACAAGUUUUUCUAUUUAUAUUAGUAGUUGUCCGGACCCGAAUUUUUGCCACCUCUAGCAAUGAGCGAUGAAAUGCUCCUGGUUGUCACAUCGAUAAUACGUGCCGGAUACGCGUCUGCACUAGUAUGACACCGAGUCUCCAGGGCUACACUACUAGAUCAGCCCUUGUCUCCUGAACCAGAUGAUGAAGUCAGGGUCCUGCUGUAGGGUCGUGACCAGUGUUCCCACCUAGAAUGCCAAUAGCUACUCGUGGAAGACUAACUCUUUCGAGGGUUCUAACCCCGAUGCCGCUAAUACUCCUGUCUACUUGGGUCUUGUGUCUCCUGCCGGGUAAUCUCUAGGUCCUUGACAAUGUUGACUAUCUUCGUAUAUAAGAUUGUCUCAGGAAAAGCACAAUAGCUCGCCGAAAUUGGUUUUUCAGGCCUUUUAUAAAAUGACGAGACUUGCACUUUUCAUCUGGCACUAAGGAUGAAGUAAACUGAGACAAUCUGUCGAACUCUACGUCAGACACUUCUACACUCAUCAAUCCCUGCCUUAGACUUAGGAACUGUCUCUCCAUCUGAGCUUGGAGACUCAACAGAAAGUACUUCACUUAGAAUGUUUUCUUAAAUUGAUCCGUGGUCUUGAAACCAUCUUUCCCUUUUAUGCGCAAUUCAUUCUCGAAUGACUAGGUUGCACUAUCCAGCAGUAUGUAUGAGGCCAAUCUGACCUUGUCUGCAUAAGGCUCUACAUAGCCCGAAAAAUCCUCUUAUACGGACUAAUUCUGUAUCCGACCACUGUAAGAUUAAUGGUCCCCGCUAACGGUGAUGAUGAUGAGUUUUGGAAUAAUUGGUUGAACCAACUCAUGACAAAACAAAGUUCUCUCAACCUUCCUCAAACCGCAUGCUUUUAAUUAAUUUGUGUUAGCAUGCAUCUUUGAUUCUAUCGAUUCAUUCCUCUCUCUUUCA
Molecule: long non-coding RNA, 3202 nt
Organism: Dioscorea cayenensis subsp. rotundata (Guinea yam)
Lineage: Eukaryota; Viridiplantae; Streptophyta; Magnoliopsida; Dioscoreales; Dioscoreaceae
Exons: 3
Source: RefSeq, a predicted model, not a curated record